RNAcentral lists this ribosomal RNA (1335 nucleotides) under metagenome. RNAcentral's name for it is "bacterial LSU rRNA". It matches the Rfam family "Bacterial large subunit ribosomal RNA", at positions 1613 to 2925 of the family's 2925-position model. The record is from RNAcentral.
AAAAAGCCUCUAGUGAGUGUUGUGGCGGCCCGUACCCUAAACCGACUCAGGUGGUCAGGUAGAGAAUACCAAGGCGAUCGGGUGAACUGUGGUUAAGGAACUCGGCAAAUUGCCCCCGUAACUUCGGGAGAAGGGGGACCUCUGCUGGUGAUGGGCUUUACGUUCUGAGCUGGUGGGGGUCGCAGUGGCCAGGGGGAAGCGACUGUUUACUAAAAACACAGGUCCGUGCGAAGUCGUAAGACGAUGUAUACGGACUGACGCCUGCCCGGUGCCGGAACGUUAAGGGGACCGCUUAGCCAACGCGAGUUGGCGAAGGUGAGAACUUAAGCGCCGGUAAACGGCGGUGGUAACUAUAACCAUCCUAAGGUAGCGAAAUUCCUUGUCGGGUAAGUUCCGACCUGCACGAAUGGCGUAACGACUUCCCCGCUGUCUCAACCACAGACCCGGCGAAAUUGCACUACGAGUAAAGAUGCUCGUUUCGCGCAGCAGGACGGAAAGACCCCGGGACCUUCACUACAGCUUGACAUUGGCGUUUGGAACGUCUUGUGUAGGAUAGGUGGGAGACUGGGAAGCUGUCACGCUAGUGAUGGUGGAGUCAUUGGUGAAAUACCACUCUGGUCGUUUUGAACGUCUAACUCUGGUCCGUGAUCCGGAUCGGGGACAGUGUCUGGUGGGUAGUUUAACUGGGGCGGUUGCCUCCUAAAGAGUAACGGAGGCGCCCAAAGGUUCCCUCAGCCUGGUUGGCAAUCAGGUGUUGAGUGUAAGUGCACAAGGGAGCUUGACUGUGAGACUGACAGGUCGAGCAGGAGCGAAAGCUGGGACUAGUGAUCCGGCAUCGGCGUGUGGAAGCGGUGUCGCUCAACGGCUAAAAGGUACCCCGGGGAUAACAGGCUGGUCUUCCCCAAGAGUCCAUAUCGACGGGAUGGUUUGGCACCUCGAUGUCGGCUCGUCGCAUCCUGGGGCUGGAGUAGGUCCCAAGGGUUGGGCUGUUCGCCCAUUAAAGCGGUACGCGAGCUGGGUUUAGAACGUCGCGAGACAGUUCGGUCCCUAUCCGCUGCGCGCGCAGGAGACUUGAAGGGGGCUGUCCCUAGUACGAGAGGACCGGGACGGACGAACCUCUGGUGUGCCAGUUGUACCGCCAGGUGCACGGCUGGUUGGCUACGUUCGGAAGGGAUAACCGCUGAAAGCAUCUAAGCGGGAAGCUCGCCUUGAGAUGAGGUCUCCCACCCCGUGAGGGGGUAAGGCUCCCGGUAGAUCACCGGGUUGAUAGGCCGGAGGUGGAAGCACGGUAACGUGUGGAGCUGACCGGUACUAAUAGGCCGAGGACUUGACCAC